CGCGUGGUGGUCUAGAGGUAUGAUUCCUUCUUUUGGGUUUCUAUACUAUCUGAAGGAAAUCCCGGGUUCAAUUGCCGGCCAGACCU
RNAcentral lists this transfer RNA (86 nucleotides) under Sphaerobolus stellatus SS14. RNAcentral describes it as "tRNA-Gln". The record is from RNAcentral. Lineage: Eukaryota; Fungi; Basidiomycota; Agaricomycetes; Geastrales; Sphaerobolaceae.